GGGUGAGUAACGCGUAUCCAACCUGCCCACCACUUGGGGAUAACCUUGCGAAAGUAAGACUAAUACCCAAUGACGUCUCUAGAAGGCAUCUGAAAGAGAUUAAAGAUUUAUCGGUGAUGGAUGGGGAUGCGUCUGAUUAGCUUGUUGGCGGGGUAACGGCCCACCAAGGCAACGAUCAGUAGGGGUUCUGAGAGGAAGGUCCCCCACAUUGGAACUGAGACACGGUCCAAACUCCUACGGGAGGCAGCAGUGAGGAAUAUUGGUCAAUGGACGAGAGUCUGAACCAGCCAAGUAGCGUGCAGGAAGACGGCCCUAUGGGUUGUAAACUGCUUUUAUAAGGGAAUAAAGUGAGUCUCGUGAGACUUUUUGCAUGUACCUUAUGAAUAAGAACCGGCUAAUUCCGUGCCAGCAGCCGCGGUAAUACGGAAGGUCCGGGCGUUAUCCGGAUUUAUUGGGUUUAAAGGGAGCGUAGGCCGGAGAUUAAGCGUGUUGUGAAAUGUAGACGCUCAACGUCUGCACUGCAGCGCGAACUGGUUUCCUUGAGUACGCACAAAGUGGGCGGAAUUCGUGGUGUAGCGGUGAAAUGCUUAGAUAUCACGAAGAACUCCGAUUGCGAAGGCAGCUCACUGGAGCGCAACUGACGCUGAAGCUCGAAAGUGCGGGUAUCGAACAGGAUUAGAUACCCUGGUAGUCCGCACGGUAAACGAUGGAUGCCCGCUGUUGGUCUGAAUAGGUCAGCGGCCAAG
RNAcentral lists this ribosomal RNA (746 nucleotides) under uncultured bacterium. RNAcentral's name for it is "bacterial SSU rRNA". It matches the Rfam family "Bacterial small subunit ribosomal RNA", at positions 104 to 851 of the family's 1533-position model. The record is from RNAcentral.